This is a long non-coding RNA of Ailuropoda melanoleuca (giant panda), 256 nucleotides long. RefSeq lists it as uncharacterized. The record is from RefSeq and is a predicted model, not a curated record. The transcript has 3 exons. Lineage: Eukaryota; Metazoa; Chordata; Mammalia; Carnivora; Ursidae.
GACGGCAACAGGAAAGGUGUAAUGCUUUUGAUUGGAAUGGAUUUCCUGCCCGUCAUCAAUCAAGUGGUCUUCUUGGCUAACAAAAUUUGAAGUUUAAUCCUGAGACCAUUUUUCUGUACCUCUAAGAGCUGCUUGAAUACCUGUCAGCCUCCUCCCAAUCCCCAGAUGAAAGCACAGUGGCAUCUUCAUUGCAUUUGAGCAGAUGUUACUAAAAUCCUACUCAUAAUAGAUAGAGACAGCCAGCGAGAGAGGGAAC